Long non-coding RNA from Tupaia belangeri chinensis (Chinese tree shrew), 279 nucleotides. RefSeq lists it as uncharacterized. The transcript has 3 exons. The record is from RefSeq and is a predicted model, not a curated record. NCBI's taxonomy places the organism in Eukaryota, Metazoa, Chordata, Mammalia, Scandentia, Tupaiidae.
CACACAGCUGUGCCCAUGGCGGCCACACCAGCUGGGCACCUGUAAAAUGAUGGACAUCUUUCUGAACCAAAGCCAAGACUAUGGAUGCGGAAAAAGGAGACUCACGGUCCCUGUUCUACAACCGCGGAAAUGAAGCUCAAGACAAGGUUAAAGAAAUUGCCUGAAGUCAUGGCCUACACUCUGAGCUUGCAAAUUAACAAGAAAGUGCAGAAAACAAGACCCUUCCUUCAUGACUACCUCCCUGUGGCCUCACUCCAGCAUCAGUCACAAAGACAACCG